AAUUACUAUAAUGUGUAAUUUUUUUCUUGUCUAAUAUUUUCUUACAGUUAGGUAUAAAGGGUAUAAUAGUAAUAUCAUUAUUUUUUUUGGUUGACAAAUAUGAUUCUAUUAAUAUGUAGUUUAUUUUAUAUAUUUAUUUGUGUCUAUAUAUAUGAGUAGAGAAUCUAUUUCCUAUGUUCUCUCAAAGAGGAAUUAUUAGAUGUUA
RNAcentral lists this long non-coding RNA (205 nucleotides) under Malus domestica (apple). RNAcentral's name for it is "long non-coding RNA (MDOM_LNC003176)". Lineage: Eukaryota; Viridiplantae; Streptophyta; Magnoliopsida; Rosales; Rosaceae. The record is from RNAcentral.